GAGCUAUCGUACAAGGUAGCUUGCGUUUGGCAGCCCACACGUAACUGCUUGAUUCACUGGUUAGACGAUUGGGUCUGUAGCUCAGUUGGUUAGAGCGCACCCCUGAUAAGGGUGAGGUCGGCAGUUCGAAUCUGCCCAGACCCACCAAUUGUUGGUGUGCUGCGUGAUCCGAUACGGGGCCAUAGCUCAGCUGGGAGAGCGCCUGCUUUGCACGCAGGAGGUCAGGAGUUCGAUCCUCCUUGGCUCCACCAUCUAAACAAUCGUCGAAAGCUCAGAAAUGAAUGUUCGUGAAUGAACAUUGAUUUCUGGUCUUUGCACCAGAACUGUUCUUUAAAAAUUCGGGUAUGUGAUAGAAGUAAGACUGAAUGAUCUCUUUCACUGGUGAUCAUUCAAGUCAAGGUAAAAUUUGCGAGUUCAAGCGCGAAUUUUCGGCGAAUGUCGUCUUCACAGUAUAACCAGAUUGCUUGGGGUUAUAUAUGGUGCUA
RNAcentral lists this transfer RNA (485 nucleotides) under Pseudomonas fluorescens. RNAcentral's name for it is "partial 16S ribosomal RNA". The stretch from base 71 to 144 matches the Rfam family "tRNA". The record is from RNAcentral. Lineage: Bacteria; Pseudomonadati; Pseudomonadota; Gammaproteobacteria; Pseudomonadales; Pseudomonadaceae.